RNAcentral lists this ribosomal RNA (215 nucleotides) under Staphylococcus haemolyticus. RNAcentral's name for it is "partial 23S ribosomal RNA". It matches the Rfam family "Bacterial large subunit ribosomal RNA", at positions 2708 to 2925 of the family's 2925-position model. The record is from RNAcentral. Lineage: Bacteria; Bacillati; Bacillota; Bacilli; Caryophanales; Staphylococcaceae.
UCUGGUGUACCAGUUGUCGUGCCAACGGCAUAGCUGGGUAGCUAUGUAUGGACGGGAUAAGUGCUGAAAGCAUCUAAGCAUGAAGCCCCCCUCAAGAUGAGAUUUCCCAACUUCGGUUAUAAGAUCCCUCAAAGAUGAUGAGGUUAAUAGGUUCGAGGUGGAAGCGUGGUGACACGUGGAGCUGACGAAUACUAAUCGAUCGAAGACUUAAUCAA